CUAAGGUCCCAAAGUCAUGGUUAAGUGGGAAACGAUGUGGGAAGGCCCAGACAGCCAGGAUGUUGGCUUAGAAGCAGCCAUCAUUUAAAGAAAGCGUAAUAGCUCACUGGUCGAGUCGGCCUGCGCGGAAGAUGUAACGGGGCUAAACCAUGCACCGAAGCUGCGGCAGCGACACUGUGUGUUGUUGGGUAGGGGAGCGUUCUGUAAGCCUGUGAAGGUGUGUCGUGAGGCAUGCUGGAGGUAUCAGAAGUGCGAAUGCUGACAUAAGUAACGAUAAAGCGGGUGAAAAGCCCGCUCGCCGGAAGACCAAGGGUUCCUGUCCAACGUUAAUCGGGGCAGGGUGAGUCGACCCCUAAGGCGAGGCCGAAAGGCGUAGUCGAUGGGAAACGGGUUAAUAUUCCCGUACUUGGUGUUACUGCGAAGGGGGGACGGAGAAGGCUAUGUUGGCCGGGCGACGGUUGUCCCGGUUUAAGCGUGUAGGUGUGUGUUCCAGGUAAAUCCGGUUCACUUUAACACUGAGGCGUGACGACGAGGCACUACGGUGCUGAAGCAACAAAUGCCCUGCUUCCAGGAAAAGCCUCUAAGCAUCAGGUAACAUCAAAUCGUACCCCAAACCGACACAGGUGGUCAGGUAGAGAAUACCAAGGCGCUUGAGAGAACUCGGGUGAAGGAACUAGGCAAAAUGGUGCCGUAACUUCGGGAGAAGGCACGCUGACACGUAGGUGAAGUGAUUUACUCAUGGAGCUGAAGUCAGUCGAAGAUACCAGCUGGCUGCAACUGUUUAUUAAAAACACAGCACUGUGCAAACACGAAAGUGGACGUAUACGGUGUGACGCCUGCCCGGUGCCGGAAGGUUAAUUGAUGGGGUCAGCGCAAGCGAAGCUCCUGAUCGAAGCCCCGGUAAACGGCGGCCGUAACUAUAACGGUCCUAAGGUAGCGAAAUUCCUUGUCGGGUAAGUUCCGACCUGCACGAAUGGCGUAAUGAUGGCCAGGCUGUCUCCACCCGAGACUCAGUGAAAUUGAACUCGCUGUGAAGAUGCAGUGUACCCGCGGCAAGACGGAAAGACCCCGUGAACCUUUACUAUAGCUUGACACUGAACAUUGAGCCUUGAUGUGUAGGAUAGGUGGGAGGCUUUGAAGUGUGGACGCCAGUCUGCAUGGAGCCGACCUUGAAAUACCACCCUUUAAUGUUUGAUGUUCUAACGUGGACCCGUUACCCGGGUUGCGGACAGUGUCUGGUGGGUAGUUUGACUGGGGCGGUCUCCUCCUAAAGAGUAACGGAGGAGCACGAAGGUUGGCUAAUCCUGGUCGGACAUCAGGAGGUUAGUGCAAUGGCAUAAGCCAGCUUGACUGCGAGCGUGACGGCGCGAGCAGGUGCGAAAGCAGGUCAUAGUGAUCCGGUGGUUCUGAAUGGAAGGGCCAUCGCUCAACGGAUAAAAGGUACUCCGGGGAUAACAGGCUGAUACCGCCCAAGAGUUCAUAUCGACGGCGGUGUUUGGCACCUCGAUGUCGGCUCAUCACAUCCUGGGGCUGAAGUAGGUCCCAAGGGUAUGGCUGUUCGCCAUUUAAAGUGGUACGCGAGCUGGGUUUAGAACGUCGUGAGACAGUUCGGUCCCUAUCUGCCGUGGGCGCUGGAGAACUGAGGGGGGCUGCUCCUAGUACGAGAGGACCGGAGUGGACGCAUCACUGGUGUUCGGGUUGUCAUGCCAAUGGCACUGCCCGGUAGCUAAAUGCGGAAGAGAUAAGUGCUGAAAGCAUCUAAGCACGAAACUUGCCCCGA
RNAcentral lists this ribosomal RNA (1780 nucleotides) under Salmonella enterica. RNAcentral describes it as "partial 23S ribosomal RNA". It matches the Rfam family "Bacterial large subunit ribosomal RNA", at positions 1039 to 2802 of the family's 2925-position model. RNAcentral also lists the same sequence under 1 other name. Lineage: Bacteria; Pseudomonadati; Pseudomonadota; Gammaproteobacteria; Enterobacterales; Enterobacteriaceae. The record is from RNAcentral.